Molecule: transfer RNA, 60 nt
Filed under: Geum urbanum
Lineage: Eukaryota; Viridiplantae; Streptophyta; Magnoliopsida; Rosales; Rosaceae
Description: tRNA-Phe
Source: RNAcentral
UAGCUCAAGUGGUUAGAGCAAAGGACUGAAAAUCCCUUGAUGAGUGGUUCGAAUCUGUUU